AAAUGUUGAAUAUCAUGAUAAUAAAUUAUUUUCAAAUUUUGAGGAUAAAGACAAGCGCGUUUUAUGGGUUCGAUUGACUAUGCCUUAUGUAGAUGAUGUUGAAUUGGAAUAAAAUUAAUAAAUCGAGAUUUUGUAAAUCAUUAUUUUUUGAAUUCAACUUUGGAGAUGCCACACUAUAUAAUUUAAAGUUUUAAACCAUACUAAACUCGCUACAAUUUAGUGUAUCGGUUUUUUACUAAAUUAAUGAUUAGAUAUGUCUCCAAUUGUAAAAAUCAGAAUAUUUCAUUUCUUGGGAAAACUGAUCAUUUUUGUGUAUAGGUGAAUAAUUCGCAUGAUUGCUAUUAAUCGGGUGAAUUAUUUGUUAAUUACCUGUACGUCCUACCCCAUUAGCCUGUGACUGCAUGUCUAAAAAAGCACCAACAACUUCAUUACAAG
RNAcentral lists this long non-coding RNA (435 nucleotides) under Salvia miltiorrhiza (redroot sage). RNAcentral's name for it is "long non-coding RNA (SMIL_LNC014009)". The record is from RNAcentral. Lineage: Eukaryota; Viridiplantae; Streptophyta; Magnoliopsida; Lamiales; Lamiaceae.